This 335-nucleotide long non-coding RNA is filed under the name Solanum lycopersicum (tomato). RNAcentral's name for it is "partial TCONS_00034184". Lineage: Eukaryota; Viridiplantae; Streptophyta; Magnoliopsida; Solanales; Solanaceae. The record is from RNAcentral.
GCCAUGUUGGGAUAUUUGUGAGGACCACUUAUUUUGUUUUAUAUAUUUUUUUAUUAUAUAUAUAGUAAAGAAUGGAGACUGGCAGUUGACUUUGCUGAAGAAAAGUCUCUUCCAAUGGAUUGUCAAUUUCUCCACAACAAGUGCUUUGUCUAAUACAUUACACCAACUUUGAGAAAAACAAGAUCCAGAUUGAAGCUGGGAAGAGGAGUAUAAAAGGUUGUGGUGGAGGAUGAUGAGACUCGUGAAAGAGAUGCUAUUCUUGCUCCAGCUUCAAUGAACUUGUAAGUAGAUUUGAAAAUGAGCGCCGACUUCCUCAUGAUCAAACUAGAUUUACC